GGAGAUAUAGCUCAGUUGGUAGAGUGCCUGCCUCACAUGCAUAAAGCCCUGGGUUCAAACCCCAGGAUUACCA
This 73-nucleotide transfer RNA is filed under the name Urocitellus parryii (Arctic ground squirrel). Its description in RNAcentral is "Spermophilus parryii (Arctic ground squirrel) tRNA". It matches the Rfam family "tRNA". From Rfam's summary of the family: Transfer RNA (tRNA) molecules are approximately 80 nucleotides in length. Their secondary structure includes four short double-helical elements and three loops (D, anti-codon, and T loops). The record is from Rfam by way of RNAcentral. RNAcentral also lists the same sequence under 1 other name. Lineage: Eukaryota; Metazoa; Chordata; Mammalia; Rodentia; Sciuridae.